RNAcentral lists this unclassified non-coding RNA (484 nucleotides) under Hevea brasiliensis (rubber tree). Lineage: Eukaryota; Viridiplantae; Streptophyta; Magnoliopsida; Malpighiales; Euphorbiaceae. The record is from RNAcentral.
AAAGGCAUUGUUAUAUUGGCUAUGGCUAGAUGAUGCCAGAUUCAUUUGAAUAUUUUGUAUUUUGUUCUUUAUGUGAAUGCAUCAACUUUAUUUGGUUGAGACUAUAAAAUGGGUUUCAGACUUUCAGUUGGGCACUGAAAUUAUAAAUCAAAACAUAUGCUAAUUACUUUAUUUGGUUGCAGCCGAAAUUCUUUGUUUAAUAAAAAAUUUCUUUGAUUUUGUGUUGUUAUGAAAAAGAAAUAUAUGUAAUUAGUUUCUGAGUAAUUAAAAUUUUGGAGAGCAGUAUAAUAGUAAUUGAAAUUUUGCUUCCUUAUAAUAAUAUGCUACAUUUGUCUAAUUUAUAUUUUGCUUUCUUUUUUUUUUUCAGAAUUUCAAGAGUUAUGUCAAUCAACAAUAGGAGUGUAGUAGUCCAUUAUUGGCAGAAUUUUGAAUGAUUGAGAUUAUAAAAUUAGCAAAUUUAUUGCUUAUUCAUGAAAAGUUUAGG